This 24-nucleotide non-coding RNA is filed under the name Arabidopsis thaliana (thale cress). The record is from RNAcentral. Lineage: Eukaryota; Viridiplantae; Streptophyta; Magnoliopsida; Brassicales; Brassicaceae.
CAGGCCCGGCUCUACACAUGUGCU